This 300-nucleotide long non-coding RNA is filed under the name Cucumis sativus (cucumber). Its description in RNAcentral is "long non-coding RNA (CSAT_LNC001456)". The record is from RNAcentral. Lineage: Eukaryota; Viridiplantae; Streptophyta; Magnoliopsida; Cucurbitales; Cucurbitaceae.
UCCGUUUGGCCAUAUGUUUCCUUGUAGAUAUGGAUCAUGCGUGAGUUAUUUCGAACCAUGUAUUUAGUAUUCUAUCAUGGUCGGAUUGGAUGAAGGAUGCUAUCGUGGCAAGUACUAAAUAUGCUGAGCUAGUUUUGGCCGCAUGAUUUUUUGGUCAUGUGCGAGCUAUCCUUGGCCGUAUAUUUAGAUGCCUUGCCAUAGUUGGAUUUUGGCACAAGUUUGUUAGUAUCACUUGUGGAUUAUGGUAAUAUAUAAUUUUAACGUUUUAAUUAUUAUUUCGUUAUGAAUGUCACAUUUAAA